AAAAUUUUAAAGGUCGAACAGACCUAAAAUGCUUAGCUCCUACACCAAGCCUUAAUUUUAAUCCAACAUCGAGGUCGCAAACCCUCCUUUCGAUUAGAACUCUUAAAGAAGAUUACG
RNAcentral lists this ribosomal RNA (117 nucleotides) under Xoanodera maculata. RNAcentral describes it as "partial 16S ribosomal RNA". Lineage: Eukaryota; Metazoa; Arthropoda; Insecta; Coleoptera; Cerambycidae. The record is from RNAcentral.